RNAcentral lists this ribosomal RNA (1463 nucleotides) under Escherichia coli. RNAcentral describes it as "bacterial SSU rRNA". It matches the Rfam family "Bacterial small subunit ribosomal RNA". The record is from RNAcentral. Lineage: Bacteria; Pseudomonadati; Pseudomonadota; Gammaproteobacteria; Enterobacterales; Enterobacteriaceae.
UUUUGCUGACGAGUGGCGGACGGGUGAGUAAUGUCUGGGAAACUGCCYGAUGGAGGGGGAUAACUACUGGAAACGGUAGCUAAUACCGCAUAACGUCGCAAGACCAAAGAGGGGGACCUUAGGGCCUCUUGCCAUCGGAUGUGCCCAGAUGGGAUUAGCUAGUAGGUGGGGUAACGGCUCACCUAGGCGACGAUCCCUAGCUGGUCUGAGAGGAUGACCAGCCACACUGGAACUGAGACACGGUCCAGACUCCUACGGGAGGCAGCAGUGGGGAAUAUUGCACAAUGGGCGCAAGCCUGAUGCAGCCAUGCCGCGUGUAUGAAGAAGGCCUUCGGGUUGUAAAGUACUUUCAGCGGGGAGGAAGGGAGUAAAGUUAAUACCUUUGCUCAUUGACGUUACCCGCAGAAGAAGCACCGGCUAACUCCGUGCCAGCAGCCGCGGUAAUACGGAGGGUGCAAGCGUUAAUCGGAAUUACUGGGCGUAAAGCGCACGCAGGCGGUUUGUUAAGUCAGAUGUGAAAUCCCCGGGCUCAACCUGGGAACUGCAUCUGAUACUGGCAAGCUUGAGUCUCGUAGAGGGGGGUAGAAUUCCAGGUGUAGCGGUGAAAUGCGUAGAGAUCUGGAGGAAUACCGGUGGCGAAGGCGGCCCCCUGGACGAAGACUGACGCUCAGGUGCGAAAGCGUGGGGAGCAAACAGGAUUAGAUACCCUGGUAGUCCACGCCGUAAACGAUGUCGACUUGGAGGUUGUGCCCUUGAGGCGUGGCUUCCGGAGCUAACGCGUUAAGUCGACCGCCUGGGGAGUACGGCCGCAAGGUUAAAACUCAAAUGAAUUGACGGGGGCCCGCACAAGCGGUGGAGCAUGUGGUUUAAUUCGAUGCAACGCGAAGAACCUUACCUGGUCUUGACAUCCACGGAAGUUUUCAGAGAUGAGAAUGUGCCUUCGGGAACCGUGAGACAGGUGCUGCAUGGCUGUCGUCAGCUCGUGUUGUGAAAUGUUGGGUUAAGUCCCGCAACGAGCGCAACCCUUAUCCUUUGUUGCCAGCGGUCCGGCCGGGAACUCAAAGGAGACUGCCAGUGAUAAACUGGAGGAAGGUGGGGAUGACGUCAAGUCAUCAUGGCCCUUACGACCAGGGCUACACACGUGCUACAAUGGCGCAUACAAAGAGAAGCGACCUCGCGAGAGCAAGCGGACCUCAUAAAGUGCGUCGUAGUCCGGAUUGGAGUCUGCAACUCGACUCCAUGAAGUCGGAAUCGCUAGUAAUCGUGGAUCAGAAUGCCACGGUGAAUACGUUCCCGGGCCUUGUACACACCGCCCGUCACACCAUGGGAGUGGGUUGCAAAAGAAGUAGGUAGCUUAACCUUCGGGAGGGCGCUUACCACUUUGUGAUUCAUGACUGGGGUGAAGUCGUAACAAGGUAACCGUAGGGGAACCUGCGGUUGGAUCACCUCCUUACCUUAAAGAA